Molecule: ribosomal RNA, 642 nt
Filed under: uncultured eukaryote
Lineage: Eukaryota
Description: SSU rRNA
Rfam family: Eukaryotic small subunit ribosomal RNA
Source: RNAcentral
UUGCAGUUAAAAAGCUCGUAGUUGGAUUUCGGUGUGGGCCAGUAGGUCCGCCGCAAGGUGUGUUACUGACUGGUUUGCUCUUCUUCGCAAAGACUGCGUGUGCUCUUCAGUGAGUGUGCGUAGGAUUUACGACGUUUACUUUGAAAAAAUUAGAGUGUUCAAAGCAGGCUAUUGCUUGAAUACAUGAGCAUGGAAUAAUGGAAUAGGACUUUGGUCCCAUUUUGUUGGUUUCUAGGGCCGAAGUAAUGAUUAAGAGGGACAAUUGGGGGCAUCCGUAUUUCGUUGUCAGAGGUGAAAUUCUUGGAUUUACGAAAGACGAACAACUGCGAAAGCACUUGCCAAGAGUGUUUUCAUUAAUCAAGAACGAAAGUUAGAGGAUCGAAGACGAUCAGAUACCGUCCUAGUUCUAACCAUAAACGAUGUCGACUAGGGAUCAGCGGGCGUUAUCGUACGACCCCGUUGGCACCUUACGGGAAACCAAAGUUUCUGGAUUCCGGGGGAAGUAUGGUUGCAAAGCUGAAACUUAAAGGAAUUGACGGAAGGGCACCACCAGGAGUGGAGCCUGUGGCUCAAUUUGACUCAACACGGGAAAGCUUACCAGGUCCAGACAUAGUAAGGAUUGACAGAUUGAUAGCUCUUUCU